GCGCCCGUAGCUCAACUGGAUAGAGCGUUGCCCUCCGAAGGCAAAGGUUGGGGGUUCGACUCCCUUCGGGCGCACCA
This 77-nucleotide transfer RNA is filed under the name Micavibrio sp. RNAcentral's name for it is "tRNA-Arg". It matches the Rfam family "tRNA". Rfam says of the family: Transfer RNA (tRNA) molecules are approximately 80 nucleotides in length. Their secondary structure includes four short double-helical elements and three loops (D, anti-codon, and T loops). The record is from RNAcentral. Lineage: Bacteria; Pseudomonadati; Bdellovibrionota; Bdellovibrionia; Bdellovibrionales; Pseudobdellovibrionaceae.